UCAAAAUUACCAAAUGUUUGACAUCCAAUAGCAGUUAAUUAAUAAAUGUGCUCUAGUGGUGUUGUUAAACAAAACAAACUUUUAAAUAAUACAACGGAUAUUUCAGUGAAUAUUUUAUUAUAGAAUGUCAUAUCAUACAUUAAUCAUGCAAAUUAUGUAUUGCCAACAACUAACUGAAAGAAGAUAUUGUUCAAAUUGGAGGGGGGAAAUGGAAUAAAAUGCAUUUGAAGCAAAAAAAUAAAUAAAAUAAAUAAAAAAACUAAGAACUUUGUGAUUUUGGCAAAAACAGCAUUUUCUCAGUAUUAUUUAAUUGUGGCAUGUAGAAGAACGAUAAUAAGACAAAAAACUGGGGCUUUUUUUUUUUUUAGGUUGACGAGUGCAUACAAUGCUCGUGCAACAUAUUUUCACAUGCAGUACUGUGUGCUAUAAACACCAAGUUGUGUUUGUUUUUUUCGUCAAACAGAUUUUAUUCCUUUUCUUUUUUUUUUCUAUUUGAACUAUAUCCUCUUUCAAUUAGUUUUUAAUUUUAUUUUACAAUACAUCAUUUGUCUGCAUUCUGUAUGUGUAUGAUGACCUGUCUAUACGAAACCAUUCAGUUAAAUAUUCAUUGCGUUUCUUAUGCCUCGGUAUAUUUUUAUGUUCUCAUUUAGUACUGCUUUUACAAUCAAACAUUCCACAAUAGGUGAGAACCUUUUCUUGUGUUACACAAUAUUGGAGCUUUAUUUGUAUGAUAAAUUCAUCAGUGCCAUUACGAGACAAGCCACCAGUGUGCUAGUGUUCUCCCGAUACUAAACUUUCUUACUAGGUGGACUGUCCUCUACCAAGAAACAGGCAGUACCAUUACUGAAGAAAAAACAAAGAAAAUUGUCUGAAACAAAUGCAGGGCCAAAUUUUACGAGUCUGAUUGAAGUAAACUUUACACACUCGGCAUCAUAUACUGCAGGGAGGUAGGGCCGUCGUAAUACUACAAACAUACAUUACAACAGUGUUCGUGGCAGCAUGAGAUCCUGCAGGGAGGUAGGGCCGUUGUAAUACUACAAACAUACAUUACAACAGUGUUAGUGGCAGCAUGAGAUCCUGCAGGGAGGUAUGGCUUUCAUAAUACUACAAACAUACAUUACAGCAGUGUUGGUGGCAGCAUGAGAUCCUGCAGGGAGGUAUGGCUUUCAUAAUACUACAAACAUACAUUACAGCAGUGUUAGUGGUAGCAUGAGAUCCUGCAGGGAGGUAGGGCCGUCGUGAUACUACAAACAUACAUUACAACAGUGUUAGUGGCAGCAUGAGAUCCUGCAGGGAGGUAGGGCCGUCGUGAUACUACAAACAUACAUUACAGCAGUGUUAGUGGCAGCAUGAGAUCCUGCAGGGAGGUAGAGCCGUCGUGAUACUACAAACAUACAUUACAACUGUUAGUGGCCAUUCAUUGUUUGUGUCUAGUUUUGUUCCUUUACCCUCUUCAUGUUAUAAUGUUGGAAGAUAUUAAGUACUGUGAUAUAUUCUUUGUGAUCUGCCGACAUUUUGUUAUUUUAAGAGGAUUAAAAGGAUUGAAAACUGCUGAUCUCGCCACAACAGUAUUUGGUAAGAAAAGUUUCUGUUGUACGAAUUGUGGUCAUCUAUAAAUCUAGUUUUAAUUCUGCAGUGUUCUUGAGUUUUCACUUUUCAAAGGUAAAAGUUGCAAAAACUUAACAGUCACAAGUCUUGAUGGCAGACUCGCGACUAUUAUGCAUCUACCCUAGUACUUUUAUGAAUUAAAAAAUAUCUGCAAUAACCAUUUGGCUUGUAAUUAAUGUAACAAACAUUUUCUGAGCUGAGCGAAUAGAAAAAUGUGGGCUUGUAUCAAUUAUUUUUAAAUGUAUGGCAUUUUGUAAUAGCUUAUUUUAUAUUGUUAUAGAACUAAAUUGAGUGAUUUUUGUCAGAUAGCUUUGAUAGCAGAACAGGGGUGUCAGAUAUACAAGAUUAAUUAGCCAAAUUAUAUAAUGAACACAGUGUUACACACUGACAUAGAUUAUGGUUAUUACAAUUAUUUGUGCUUUUUGUUUGGUCAACAUCAUUGUUGUUGCUCAUUUGAUGAUUCAGAUGGUACUCUUUGUUCAUUCCAACGUGCACACUGGUUGGCUAAUUCCAGUUUACAACCUCUAUUGCCCAAAGAUCCCAAGCAUUUAACAUCAUCUCAAUUAUCACAUUGGUCAUAUUCACCAGCAACACAGUAAACAUGUCGAGCCAAAUUUACGAAGCUUGUUUUUCUUAAACGCAGGUGUUUAAGCAUAGUAAAUGGACAUAGUUAAACGCGUGCAAGUCUAAAACAGGCUUUGUAAAUUCGGCUCUUUGGUGGUUCUCUUUAUUUUGGUUAUGAUUAGCCUCAACAUUUCUUUAUUACUGCUUGUGCACUUUAAUGAACAUACUGUAACCACACAAUAACAAACAGACCCAUUGCUUUAAUCUGUGCAGCUGAUCUUUCCAACCUAUAGCCGUAAUAUGUUGUAACCAAUUAUUAGUAUUUUUACGCAGUCAGUUGCCCAGUUUAAACUUUUAUCAGUUUUCUUUGCACAACCUCUGUACAAUAGUUUUCAUAAUGGUGAAAACAAAAGAUAAAUGGUAAAGACAGAUUGAAAUUUUGUAAAAGAAAUGACAGUAUCUGUUUACUUUUUAUUAACUGAAAAUUUAGCUCAAUUUUUUCAUUAGCACCUAGGCAUAUCCCGGUGCUUUGUCCCUUUUUGUGAAAAUAUCCUCGUCUCAGUGUGAACACCAAUGAUAAAACCAUGUUUUUUUUUGAAAAUAUCCUCGUCUCAGUGUGAACACCAAUGAUAAAACCAUGUUUUUUUGUGAAAAUAGUGAGAUGAGGCGGACUACCCAUAUAUAAUACCAUUUUAAUCUUGCGACUGAUGACAUUCUAAAACAUGGUGAAAUAUUUCUCAAAAAUGUGUGAUUUUCUUUCCUUUCUUUCUGAUUGAUAGAGGAGUUGAUAAUAGUUUGCCAAUUCUAAUUUAUUGCCAACUGUGAUGAAUUGCUGCUAGUCCCACCUCUGUGCAUCACAGAAUGGUGGUAUCCACUUUCAAGAGAAGCCAUAUGCAAGUAUCUUAAUGAUUUUGCCUACAGCAAAAAUUGUUAAAUUUUGUUAUUAAUAAAACAUUUUAUUAAGUGGUUUUUUGUUUGUGAAACAUUUCUAUGCAUAUUUUAUUUAUUAUAAUUUUACAAACAGAAUGUGUCCAUCCAUAUUUUAUCCAUUUCCAUUUCUCAUAUCAUCAAAUAAAAAACAUUUAUGUAAUAUUUAAUCUUGUUUUCAGAACUCAAUAAACGUGACAGACUGCA
Molecule: long non-coding RNA, 3306 nt
Organism: Gigantopelta aegis
Lineage: Eukaryota; Metazoa; Mollusca; Gastropoda; Neomphalida; Peltospiridae
Exons: 2
Source: RefSeq, a predicted model, not a curated record